GCCCUCGUGACGGAAUCGGAAUACGUGUAGCGUUCAGAACGCUAUGCCGCAAGGCUUGUGGGUUCGAGUCCCACCGAGGGCA
RNAcentral lists this transfer RNA (82 nucleotides) under bacterium. RNAcentral's name for it is "tRNA-Leu". It matches the Rfam family "tRNA". Rfam says of the family: Transfer RNA (tRNA) molecules are approximately 80 nucleotides in length. The record is from RNAcentral.